RNAcentral lists this transfer-messenger RNA (107 nucleotides) under Bacteroidales bacterium. RNAcentral describes it as "partial transfer-messenger RNA". It matches the Rfam family "transfer-messenger RNA", at positions 267 to 374 of the family's 374-position model. Rfam says of the family: Bacterial tmRNA, also known as 10Sa RNA or SsrA, is named for its dual tRNA and mRNA-like properties. Its role is to liberate the mRNA from a stalled ribosome. Lineage: Bacteria; Pseudomonadati; Bacteroidota; Bacteroidia; Bacteroidales. The record is from RNAcentral.
GGUGUCUUCAGUCGCGCUCACUCCCGACAAUUAAAAUGAAGAUAAGCAUGUAGAAAGCAGAUUGCUUCCUCGUUUGGACGAGGGUUCGACUCCCUCCAGCUCCACAG